Molecule: non-coding RNA, 88 nt
Filed under: Bacillus sp. (in: firmicutes)
Lineage: Bacteria; Bacillati; Bacillota; Bacilli; Caryophanales; Bacillaceae
Also listed under: 1 other name
Description: Bacillus sp. c-di-GMP sequence
Rfam family: c-di-GMP-I riboswitch aptamer
About the family: GEMM was predicted in a large-scale screen for bacterial structured RNA regulatory elements.
Source: RNAcentral
UGCAGAAAAAGGCAAACCUAUUGAAAGAUAGGGACGCAAAGUCACGGGUCUAAGGGUGGAAUAAUGCUAUGGCGGCCGGUCUGCCUGA